Long non-coding RNA from Morus notabilis, 826 nucleotides. RefSeq lists it as uncharacterized. The record is from RefSeq and is a predicted model, not a curated record. The transcript has 3 exons. Lineage: Eukaryota; Viridiplantae; Streptophyta; Magnoliopsida; Rosales; Moraceae.
UCCCUCCCAUUCUCUCUUCUCGUUUGCUUUUUCUCUCGUUCCACGAGGACCUCACGGCGGAGAAAGAAGGUCGCUGGCUGCCGAUGUUGUCGGCGGUGAGACGGAAAGCACGAGCGAGCCACCACCGCGGGGCGUCGGAAACAUUGUGUUGUUGCUUCUUACCGGCAAAAAGGCCUCGCCGGCGUCAGAUUUAAGAAAUUAGGGUUCAGGGCGAGCAGGGACAACGUAAAUGCAGUGUUCUUCGCAGAUACGUCCCAUCCGAUCAAAGCAAGAAGCAUCGACGGCACCGACUUCAUCCCUCAAGACAACGCCGUCUAUCACGCCUAUCUUUGCUCCUCCGUUCCUCUCUAUCUUUCGUUUCUCCUACACACACACUCUCUCUCUCUCUCUCUCUCGUUUCUCUCUAAACAUUGUCGUUUCGUUCCUAACCAAAAAUGUGAAAUUCUCUCUUUUGCAGAUGACCCUCUCGGUGAUCCCAACCUCCUCGGCGGCUCUUACAGUCUUGCUGCACUCUCUUCGCCGUCCGCCUUUCUCACCAAACCAUCGAACACAAGCUUCGCAAGGAGUGAUGGCCAUCAGAAAUCAAGUUGGAUUUUUGGUCUGCUUGGUGCCGAUGUCGCUUAGGGGUUCCUGAUCCUAUAGGGUAAACUUGCCUUCCGUUACUCACCAACCGAUGGAGAGAGAGAAAGGAGGGAAGAAAAGGAAAUGUAAAAAGGAGUGAGUAAAAAAGGCAAAUUAUACAGGGAAAACAUAGAAGGAAGAGUAAAAAGAAAAACCGUCAUUUCCUAAGCCAUGAAGAGAGAGAAAGAGAGAGAGGAAAGGUAAA